CAGCAGGCACGCAAUUACCCACUCCCGGCACGGGGAGGUAGUGACAAGAAAUAACGAUACGGGACUCAUCCGAGGCCCCGUAAUCGGAAUGAGUACACUUUAAAUCAUUUAACAAAAAUCUAUUGGAGGGAAAGUCUGGUGCCAGCAGCCGCGGUAACUCCAGCUCCAAUAGCGUAUAUUAAAGUUGUUGCGGUUAAAAAGCUCGUAGUUGGUUCUGUGUGCCAUGCUGUCGGUUCACCGCCUGCCGGUGUUACUGACAUGUCAUGGGACGUCCUGUCGGUGGUAAUUAAAGGCUUAUUGUUGUGGAGAGGCUUGCCUCUACUAUACAUAUAAGUACUUUAAUUGCCGAUUAAAUCCUGCCGCGGUGCUCUUUACUGAGUGUCGAGGUGGGCCGACACGUUUACUUUGAACAAAUUAAAGUGCUCAAAGCAGGCAAAAGUCUGCCUGAAUAGUAGUGCAUGGAAUAAUAGAAUAGGACCUUGGUUCUAUUUUGUUGGUUUUCUGAAUCCAAGGUAAUGAUCAAUAUGGACAGGCGGGGGCAUUCGUAUUGCGACGUUAGAGGUGAAAUUCUUGGAUCGUCGCAAGACGAACUAAAGCGAAAGCAUUUGCCAAGUAUGUCUUAAUUGAUCAAGAACGAAAGUUAGAGGUUCGAAGGCGAUCAGAUACCGCCCUAGUUCUAACCAUAAACGAUGCCAGCUAGCGAUCCGCCGAUGUUUUAUUCAUGACUCGACGGGCAGCUUCCGGGAAACCAAAGCUUUUGGGUUCCGGGGGAAGUAUGGUUGCAAAGCUGAAACUUAAAGGAAUUGACGGAAGGGCACUACCAGAAGUGGAGCCUGCGGCUUAAUUUGACUCAACACGUGAAACCUCACCAGGCCCAGACAUUGAAAGGAUUGACAGAUUGAUAGCUUCUUUCUUGGAUCCAGUGGGUAAGUGGUGCAUGGCC
RNAcentral lists this ribosomal RNA (943 nucleotides) under Chinannus trinitatis. RNAcentral's name for it is "bacterial SSU rRNA". It matches the Rfam family "Eukaryotic small subunit ribosomal RNA", at positions 426 to 1289 of the family's 1831-position model. The record is from RNAcentral. Lineage: Eukaryota; Metazoa; Arthropoda; Insecta; Hemiptera; Schizopteridae.